GAUUCUCAGCAAAAGGACUCUAAGGAUGCAGAGGAAGGGAAGUCACCCAAUCUGGGAAGGAGGUUUUUAUUAAGUAUAAAAACAGGUCAUCCACACAUAGCAAUGUGCUUUUCUAGAGAAAACCAUCCUACUCACCGAGAGCCAGGAUUGAGAUGAUGCCUUAAGAAACACCCACUCCCCGUGAGGGAUGUUACCAAGAAGUCAAGAACCACCAGUAACUUUGAAAAGUCCAGAUUACUCAGUCUCGGGUAUGUGUAUCAGCAAUGUGAAAACGGACUAGUACAUCUCUAGAGGCACAUGCCAUGUGGUCCAGCCAUAAUUAUUUGUUGUCACAACUAAGUUUCCUUUCUAUAUGAAAAGAUUAUAUUGAUCAGAAUUCUAA
This 382-nucleotide long non-coding RNA is filed under the name Homo sapiens (human). RNAcentral describes it as "novel transcript". The record is from RNAcentral. Lineage: Eukaryota; Metazoa; Chordata; Mammalia; Primates; Hominidae.